UACGUAGGGGGCAAGCGUUGUCCGGAAUCAUUGGGCGUAAAGAGCGUGUAGGCGGCCAGGUAGGUCUGCUGUGAAAACUCGAGGCUCAACCUCGAGACGUCGGCGGAAACCAUCUGGCUAGAGUCCGGAAGAGGAGAGUGGAAUUCCUGGUGUAGCGGUGAAAUGCGCAGAUAUCAGGAGGAACACCGGUGGCGAAGGCGGGUCUCUGGGCCGUAACUGACGCUGAGGAGCGAAAGCGUGGGGAGCGAACAGG
RNAcentral lists this ribosomal RNA (253 nucleotides) under uncultured bacterium. RNAcentral describes it as "partial 16S ribosomal RNA". It matches the Rfam family "Bacterial small subunit ribosomal RNA", at positions 524 to 776 of the family's 1533-position model. The record is from RNAcentral.